This 520-nucleotide ribosomal RNA is filed under the name Pandoraea sp. 3T-I6. Its description in RNAcentral is "bacterial SSU rRNA". It matches the Rfam family "Bacterial small subunit ribosomal RNA", at positions 970 to 1494 of the family's 1533-position model. The record is from RNAcentral. Lineage: Bacteria; Pseudomonadati; Pseudomonadota; Betaproteobacteria; Burkholderiales; Burkholderiaceae.
CUUACCUACCCUUGACAUGUACGGAAUCCUGCUGAGAGGUGGGAGUGCUCGAAAGAGAACCGUAACACAGGUGCUGCAUGGCUGUCGUCAGCUCGUGUCGUGAGAUGUUGGGUUAAGUCCCGCAACGAGCGCAACCCUUGUCCUUAGUUGCUACGCAAGAGCACUCUAGGGAGACUGCCGGUGACAAACCGGAGGAAGGUGGGGAUGACGUCAAGUCCUCAUGGCCCUUAUGGGUAGGGCUUCACACGUCAUACAAUGGUCGGUACAGAGGGCUGCCAAACCGCGAGGUGGAGCUAACCCCAGAAAACCGAUCGUAGUCCGGAUCGCAGUCUGCAACUCGACUGCGUGAAGCUGGAAUCGCUAGUAAUCGCGGAUCAGCAUGUCGCGGUGAAUACGUUCCCGGGUCUUGUACACACCGCCCGUCACACCAUGGGAGUGGGUUUUGCCAGAAGUAGGUAGCCUAACCGUAAGGAGGGCGCUUACCACGGCAGGAUUCAUGACUGGGGUGAAGUCGUAACAA